CACUGACGGUAUCAAAACGUCAAACGCGCUCUCUGGGGUUUUCCUCCCAGGGGAGAAGUGCCUUUGCCCCCGCCGGGGGCGAGGCCGCCGCUCGAGAGAUGAGCGCCCGAUGCGGUCCGUUCGGGCACCGUGCGGACACGGGUUCGUCCUCGUCCGCGCGGCCGAAGGAUAGUGGCUUUUUGGAAUGAAAAACACGUGAACCGUCUUGUCGACGAAAACUGAUGGACGAAUGAUCCAUCGACACCGUACACGACUCCGGGCGGUGGAUCACUCGGCUCGCAGAUCGAGGAAGGACGGAGCCAACUCCGUGAAACACGGCGAAUUGCAGGGCGCCAAGAAACCGCCACAGUUUGAACGCAUAUUGCGGCCUUGGCAGCGAUGUCGAGGCCACGCCUGUUCGAGGGUCUGAUUACAUCUUGCCCGUCUCGGACGUGUGUCCGGGCACCGGACCUCGCGUCGGACGUGCACGUCUCUCUCUCACAGGGCGCGCACGAAGGACGCGUGGUCCUAAGAUCGGAACGAAGCCGAGGGGAGACGGACCGUCUCGCACGCCGGACGUCCGGUGGCGCCGCGAGUUCGGCGCUGCCGGCUGUCGUGGGCCGUGACGCCGAGAUUCCCUCCUGGCCGGCGGAAUGCUUUUCGUGCCGGGAGGUUCGAGUACUCGUGCGGGUGGGUCCCACGGCAGAGAUCGGCCGUAGCGUCGGUUUCGACUCCUUUCGUGCGUGUGUUCUUAUAUAUCUUAUUCUUUCUGUCGGACCUCGGAUCAGGCGGGAUUACCCGCUAAAUUUAA
Molecule: ribosomal RNA, 790 nt
Filed under: Microdarwinula sp. MGb03
Lineage: Eukaryota; Metazoa; Arthropoda; Ostracoda; Podocopida; Darwinulidae
Description: eukaryotic LSU rRNA
Rfam family: 5.8S ribosomal RNA (bases 252-407)
Source: RNAcentral